GGGGAUUUAGCUCAGUGGUAGGGCGCUUGCCUAGCAAGUGCGAGGCCCUGAGUUCAGUCCCCA
Molecule: transfer RNA, 63 nt
Filed under: Rattus norvegicus (Norway rat)
Lineage: Eukaryota; Metazoa; Chordata; Mammalia; Rodentia; Muridae
Rfam family: tRNA
About the family: Transfer RNA (tRNA) molecules are approximately 80 nucleotides in length.
Source: Rfam by way of RNAcentral